This 22-nucleotide microRNA is filed under the name Saccoglossus kowalevskii. Its description in RNAcentral is "sko-miR-4826-5p". The record is from miRBase by way of RNAcentral. RNAcentral also lists the same sequence under 1 other name. Lineage: Eukaryota; Metazoa; Hemichordata; Enteropneusta; Harrimaniidae.
CAUCCGAUAACAAGUGUUGGAU